UCAAGCUGAAAAGAGCGCAAGGGGAAUGCCUUGGCAUCAGGAGCCGACGAAGGACGUGACAAGCUGCGAUAAGCCACGGGGAGGAGCAAAUAUCCGUUAUAUCCGUGGAUUUCCGAAUGGGGGAACCCGCUCAAGCAAUACUUGAGCAUCGUGCGUUGAAUCAAAUAGGCGUACGAAGGGAACGGCCUGAACUGAAACAUCUAAGUAGGGCCAGGAAAAGACAUCAACCGAGAUUCCGCUAGUAGUGGCGAGCGAACGCGGAGGAGGCCAAACCGAGGGACGCAAGUUCUUCGGGGUUGCGGACAGACAUCAAGACCAGAGGUAAUUAAGAGAACGGCGUGGGAAAGCCGGCCAUAGAAGGUGAGAGCCCUGUAUCUGAAAAUGAAGACUGGCAGUCUGGAUCCAGAGUACCGCGGGACACGUGAAACCCCGUGGGAAACCGGGUGGACCACCAUCCAAGCCUAAAUACUACCUGAUGACCGAUAGAGGAGCAGUACCGUGAGGGAAAGGUGAAAAGGACCCCGGGAGGGGAGUGAAAGAGAACCUGAAACCUUGUGCCUACAAGCACAUAGAGCCCGUCAAAGGGUGAUAUGGUACUUUUUGUAGAACGGUCCGGCGAGCGAUUGUACGUUGCAAGCUUAAGGUCUUAAGGACUGGAGGCGUAGCGAGAGCGAGUCUAAACAGGGCGUUUAGUAGCGUGCAAUGGGCCCGAAACCGGGUGACCUACCCAUGAUCAGGCUGAAGUGAAAGUAAAAUUUCAUGGAGGGCCGAACCGACCUCCGUUGAAAAGGCGGCGGAUGAAUUGUGGGUAGCGGAGAAAUUCCAAUCGAACUCGGAGAUAGCUGGUUCUCCCCGAAAUAGCUUUAGGGCUAGCCUCAUGUUAGAUAUCCGGAGGUAAAGCACUGAAUGGCCUAGCGUCCGAGAGGAUAGCGAAGCCUAUCAAACUAAGAAUGCCGGAAUAUUGAUGCAUGGGAGUCAGACAGUGUGAGAUAAAUCUCAUUGUCAAAAGGGAAACAGCCCAGAUCUACAGCUAAGGUCCCAAAUUGUAUCUAAGUGGAAAACGAUGUGGAAAUACGCAGACAACCAGGAUGUUGGCUCAGAAGCAGCCACUCAUUUAAAGAGUGCGUAAUAGCUCACUGGUCGAGCGUCUCUGCGCGGAAAAUUUAACGGGGCUAAGAUACAAACCGAAGCUUAGGCUGCACUUUUAGUGCGGGGUAGGGGAGCGUUGUGUAAGCGGAGAAACAGUAGCGGAAGCGGCUGUGGAGUUUACAGAAGUGAGAAUGCCGGAAUGAGUAGCGCGAAUGAUGUGAGAAUCAUCAUGGCCGGAAACCUCAGGUUUUUGGAGGAAGGUUCGUCCGCUCCAAGUUAGGCGGGAGCUAAGGUGAGGCCGAAAGGCGUAGCCGAUGCACAGACGGUAGAGAUUCCGUCCCCACCGAAAGAUUUAAGCGCAGGGACACUUUUAGAAGGUCGGAGCCAGGUGUUGGUUCUGGUAGAGAUCGAGGGAAGAUUAGUACCGAAGUCCGGCUGGAUAAGAGGCGAGAAAAGCUGCGUGUAUAUCUAAGGUGCCCGUACCGCAAACCGACACAGGUAGGUAGGAAGAAGAUUCUAAGGCCAACGGGAGAAGGGUUGUUAAGGAACUCGGCAAGUUGACCCCGUAACUUCGGAAUAAGGGGUGCUCAUGAAAGUGAGCCGCAGAGAAUAGGCCCAGGCAACUGUUUACCAAAAACACAGGUUUGUGCUAAAUCGAAAGAUGACGUAUACGAGCUGACGCCUGCCCGGUGCUGGAAGGUUAAAAGGAGAUGUGCAAGCAUUGAAUUGAAGCCCCAGUGAACGGCGGCCGUAACUAUAACGGUCCUAAGGUAGCGAAAUUCCUUGUCAGGUA
RNAcentral lists this ribosomal RNA (1882 nucleotides) under human gut metagenome. RNAcentral's name for it is "bacterial LSU rRNA". It matches the Rfam family "Bacterial large subunit ribosomal RNA", at positions 3 to 1978 of the family's 2925-position model. The record is from RNAcentral.